CCUACGGGUGACAGCAGUGAGGAAUAAUGGUCAAUGGCCGGAAGGCUGAACCAGCCAUGCCGCGUGAAGGUCAGUGCCCUAUGGGCGUUAAACUUCUUUUGUGCGGGAGCAAUACUGGUCACGUGUGGCCAGACGAGAGUACCGUACGAAUAAGCAUCGGCUAACUCCGUGCAAGCAGCCGCGGUAAUACGGGGGAUGCAAGCGUAAUCCGGCUUUAUUGGGUUUAAAGGGUGCGUAGGCUGUGAGGGAAGUCAGCGGUGAAAUGCCCCCGCGCAACGGGGUGAAGGGCCAUUGAUACUGCCUGGCUGGAAUGCGCAUGCCGUGGGAGGAAUGUGUGGUGUAGCGGUGAAAUGCAUAGAUAUCACACAGAACACCGAUUGCGAAGGCAUCUCACGAAUCCGCGAUUGACGCUGAUGCACGAAAGCGUGGGUAUCAAACGGGAUUAGAUACCCCUGUAGUC
This 460-nucleotide ribosomal RNA is filed under the name uncultured bacterium. RNAcentral's name for it is "partial 16S ribosomal RNA". It matches the Rfam family "Bacterial small subunit ribosomal RNA", at positions 338 to 795 of the family's 1533-position model. The record is from RNAcentral.